RNAcentral lists this unclassified non-coding RNA (306 nucleotides) under plant metagenome. RNAcentral describes it as "partial contains 5.8S ribosomal RNA, internal transcribed spacer 2, and large subunit ribosomal RNA". The stretch from base 1 to 105 matches the Rfam family "5.8S ribosomal RNA", at positions 50 to 154 of the family's 154-position model. The record is from RNAcentral.
GAAAUGCGAUAAGUAGUGUGAAUUGCAGAAUUCAGUGAAUCAUCGAAUCUUUGAACGCACAUUGCGCCCCUUGGUAUUCCAUGGGGCAUGCCUGUUCGAGCGUCAUCUACACCCUCAAGCUCUGCUUGGUGUUGGGCGUCUUUGUCCCGCCUCCGCGCGCGGACUCGCCCCAAAUUCAUUGGUAGCGGUCCUUGCCUCCUCUCGCGCAGCACAUUGCGCUUCUCGAGGUGUUGCGGCCCGCGUCCAGAAAGCAAUCGUUACCGUCUUUGACCUCGGAUCAGGUAGGGAUACCCGCUGAACUUAAGC